UCUCUCGUUCUUUCUUUCUCUUUGCUUUUUCCGACCGCUGUAAAAAUUUACCAUUUCCAGUUAGCGUUUGGGCACACUGAGGCCACUGGACUGGAGUUCAUCUUUGGCAGUGGUUUGUGGUGCUAUCUUUUAGUGGUCUUUUUAUUUCGCAGAGGAAUGGCUCUGAUUGAGGCCUUGGGAAGAAGAUCAAGCGGGUAGCGACCUGCAGCUGCAAUGACCUCAGGGUCCUUCCUCCUAUCUGAGUCCUAACCCCCCCGCCUGCCCAGUGUUCAGACUACCUGUUCAUCAGGCUACAGCUGAACAGUAGUCUGCACAUUGGUUAGGCUGGGCUGGGACGCACACACCUCAAAACUACAGUGGCUGAUGGCACCAAACCUCCACUUGGGAUAGUUCAUCCCAGCGGUGCCAAAGACAGACAGGGACUCAGCAGUCAGGACAAACCAGUACUCCUUGGAGCCUCCCUUCAUGAUGCUGAUGUUGAUGGUUAGCCAGCCUUUCCUAAUCACC
Long non-coding RNA from Seriola dumerili (greater amberjack), 507 nucleotides. RefSeq lists it as uncharacterized. Lineage: Eukaryota; Metazoa; Chordata; Actinopteri; Carangiformes; Carangidae. The transcript has 3 exons. The record is from RefSeq and is a predicted model, not a curated record.